CACAGCUCCUGGGGAGAACAAGAGCUGUCCUGGAUCAGCUUUUUUAUGACUGGCAGUGGAUUUGGGGAGUUGUAUCUACCUCAGCAUUGUGCACAUUGGCCUGCACACAUACAGCAGGAGAAGACAAAAGGUCUAGCACAGAGCUUAUCAGCACAUGGCAGGCAUUUUAAGCCAUCUUGCAAAGGAAAAAAAAACCAUGUUGUGCAUGUAAGAGAAGGAAAUCCCUAAUUGGAAACACAAUUGUCUCGUAAGAAGGGCUCCAAAAUCAACAGCCACUCCAAUUUAUAUGGUGUUUUAUCAAGCCAAAUAGCCCCCAAGGGCUUUGCAAGACGAGUCUCUAAUAAGGCUUAUAAAACCAGCCCUCUAUAACAGAGGCUGGGGCAGGGAGGGGGAGUAAAAGGCCUUUUAGCAUGUGAAUUGUGACAGCAAUGUCUGCCUGUCAAAGCUCCAGCUAGGAAAGACUCCAGAAGCUCCGGGGGGAUCUGCAGGAGUUUCAAUCACAGAGGUUCAUGGAGAGCAGGAGAGGAGAGAGCCUGAAGGAAAACCAGAGGGGACUCUUUUAUUCCAGCCUUUAUGGUGUGUCUGGAAGGCAAUACUGCAGCAAUGAGUGUGUGACAAGAAACAUGAAGAGGACGGGGAGUGUGACUGUAAAACGUGCUUUAACAUCCCCUGCAGGAGCACAUCCUCUGAGCACCACCCCUCCAUCACCACUGUCCUGCCCAAGCCAUGAUACACGAGCCAGGGAAAGCAGAACCAGCCAGCACAGGUCACACUUCACUGCACAGUUUUGCAAACCACGCUGAGAAACCCUCAGAGGAAAGAACCAACUAGUUUCAAGUCUAUUUUGAGUUGCACAGUGGGGUUGUAAAUACCUUGUUUCUGGCACUUCUACAGUGGUUAAAAAAUAUAUCAAGCGGUCAUGGAAAACCCAAGACAUAAAUUUGUUGCAGAAAGAAACGUCUCUUUUCUUCUGCAACAAAGACAACAAGUGCUUUAAUUUGGUCUCCAUUUUCUGGCUGAUGCUGUUCUGUGAACAGGUCUGUAAUGGCAGAGCUGUGCCUGUGAAGAUGAUUCCAGAAGGGUGUGCCCUGCCCUGCUGGGAAGGUGCAAGGCUGCACAUAGCCUGGUUUUAACCAGCACACAUCCACCAGUCAGCUGGCAGAUCAGGGCUCUGACAAGUUUCAAUGCCUUUAUGAUCAUUUUGCUGAAAUCUGGGGGGAAAAGAUCUGUUUUACCAUUUUCUUAGACUUAUAAAUAACUGAUAUGUGAAAAUCACAGUGAUUCCAAGACUACAAAGCCUGCCCAUCCACAGGGAAAAUGUGUCAUUUAGGAGUCACACAUCAGAACCUUGAGUGCAUCAAAGACCUUCCAAUUUUCCCACACAGGAACCUUUAGGAUUCCUCCACAGCUCCAAGUUCCACACCUUGGCACAAACCUGUGACCCUGCAUCACAUCCCUGCCCUCCUUUCCCCAAGCCACCUCAGCCCAGCCCCAGGAAAGGGAUGAGUUCUGCAGGCCAUGGCAAACACCCCAGUCCUGGCACAGCAGUGACCUGGCACCCCCUCCCCUCCCUGCAGGACUGGCAAGGGACAAGCUGGCUGUCGCCCCAAG
Molecule: long non-coding RNA, 1611 nt
Organism: Cyanistes caeruleus (blue tit)
Lineage: Eukaryota; Metazoa; Chordata; Aves; Passeriformes; Paridae
Source: Ensembl